CCCCGGGGGUAUUGCCUCAGUAGCGGCGAGUGAAGCGGCAAGAGCUCAGAUUUGAAAUCGUGCUUUGCGGCACGAGUUGUAGAUUGCAGGUUGGAGUCUGUGUGGAAGGCGGUGUCCAAGUCCCUUGGAACAGGGCGCCCAGGAGGGUGAGAGCCCCGUGGGAUGCCGGCGGAAGCAGUGAGGCCCUUCUGACGAGUCGAGUUGUUUGGGAAU
RNAcentral lists this ribosomal RNA (213 nucleotides) under Pichia kudriavzevii. Its description in RNAcentral is "partial 26S ribosomal RNA". It matches the Rfam family "Eukaryotic large subunit ribosomal RNA", at positions 64 to 281 of the family's 3401-position model. The record is from RNAcentral. Lineage: Eukaryota; Fungi; Ascomycota; Pichiomycetes; Pichiales; Pichiaceae.